Molecule: long non-coding RNA, 231 nt
Filed under: Malus domestica (apple)
Lineage: Eukaryota; Viridiplantae; Streptophyta; Magnoliopsida; Rosales; Rosaceae
Description: long non-coding RNA (MDOM_LNC018288)
Source: RNAcentral
CGAUCAAUGUGCAUAGAUAACCUUUGAAGUGCAGUAUAUCGUUGAAGGACCCUUUCAUUGUAACGUCCAUCCCUUUCUAAUGGAUCGUGUUGCACGGGUUCUUCGGUGGCAUCAUGCGCACAAUAUAUCCGUGUUCUUGAAUUGUUCAUCGUGUCUGCCUCUGGCUCAUAUUCAUCAACCGCAUCAUAAUCGAACUCAUCUUCCACAAUCAUGUUGUGAAGAAUGACGCAC